GCGCUGAAGAGAUUUACUCAUUAGGUAUUGAAAUUUGGUAUUGAAUGACGAGCCAUUUUUGUUACUCAAUACUAAGGAGGCAAUUCAGACAGUGCCUAAAAAGUACUGAAUUUGGUACCCAGCAGUAGUUU
Molecule: long non-coding RNA, 131 nt
Organism: Etheostoma spectabile (orangethroat darter)
Lineage: Eukaryota; Metazoa; Chordata; Actinopteri; Perciformes; Percidae
Exons: 4
Source: RefSeq, a predicted model, not a curated record